UACAGAGGUCUCAAGCGUUGUUCGGAUUCAUUGGGCGUAAAGGGUGCGUAGGUGGCGCUGUAAGUCGGGUGUGAAAUUUCGGAGCUUAACUCCGAAACUGCAUUCGAUACUGCGGUGCUUGAGGACUGGAGAGGAGACUGGAAUUCAUGGUGUAGCAGUGAAAUGCGUAGAGAUCAUGAGGAAGACCAGUGGCGAAGGCGGGUCUCUGGACAGUUCCUGACACUGAGGCGCGACAGCGUGGGGAGCAAACAGG
Molecule: ribosomal RNA, 253 nt
Filed under: uncultured bacterium
Lineage: Bacteria
Description: partial 16S ribosomal RNA
Rfam family: Bacterial small subunit ribosomal RNA
Source: RNAcentral